Long non-coding RNA from Gallus gallus (chicken), 548 nucleotides. The record is from Ensembl. NCBI's taxonomy places the organism in Eukaryota, Metazoa, Chordata, Aves, Galliformes, Phasianidae.
CUUUUCUCCAUGAAAGCAAGGAGGACUUUGGGAAUUACAACUUUAGGUUUUCUGCCUCUUGUUUUCAGAAAGAGCUUCUUUAUUGUGAAAUAUUGCACUACCAUCAGAGGUUGGAGUGGCCGUAGCCAUGGAAAGAACCCAAAAGCAUGGAAAGAACCAAAAAGCACUGUGCGUUGUUUUCAUCGAAGUCACGCGGCAAUUUCAUUAAAUCAAAAGAAAUAACUCAAAGGAAGAAGAGAUGGAAUUGCCAGGUUGCCCACUUGUGUGCUGUGACAUCCCCCAGCCUGUUCCAUGAAGCCCAUACAACACGACUUCACCAGAGCCCAGGGAAGGAAACACGGCACUUGAGAUGUGGCAUAAGCACUGGCCAGGGUGGCUUGGGCUGUUCCUCUGCAUGCUUCACAGCUGCAGGAGUGCACAGAAGAGUUCUGCUUCAGGACUUUUCAGUGAAUUGACAUCUUCGUAGCUGCAGAACUGUUAUGGCCCUCCAAGGUGGCUCUCCAGUAAAAAGUAAACCAAUAUCUUCUGUUCUUUCUCUUUAUUUGUUC